AGGACGAACGCUGGCGGCGUGCCUAACACAUGCAAGUCGAACGGGACCAGGGGCAACUCUGGUUCAGUGGCGGACGGGUGCGUAACACGUGAGGAACAUGACCUUCGGCGGGGGAUAGCCGGCCCAACGGCCGGGUAAUACCGCGUACGACCACUUGGGGACAUCCCUGGGUGGUGAAAGCAGCAAUGCGCCGAUGGAGUGCCUCGCGGCCUAUCAGCUAGUUGGUGAGGUAACGGCUCACCAAGGCGACGACGGGUAGC
This 260-nucleotide ribosomal RNA is filed under the name uncultured soil bacterium. Its description in RNAcentral is "partial 16S ribosomal RNA". It matches the Rfam family "Bacterial small subunit ribosomal RNA", at positions 26 to 287 of the family's 1533-position model. The record is from RNAcentral.